UGGGAUGUUCCCUAAGCACGACAGCGGAUAUGUGCUCUGCCUGCUAGCUCACUGUUGUUUGUGCUGGAAAGAACCCGGGCCCAGCCCAGAGCCACGUUGCAGGGCUCAGGACUGCUCUGAAACACUGCCACCUAGUGGCGUGAUGAGGGUUCUGUAGCUCAGGAAUCCUGAGAGAAGCAAGGAAGAAUCUUCUAGCAUGUGGGGGACUCUCGGGACCCAAGAGGGAGAGCAACUCCUAAAGACAUGGAGGCUUCUAGUACUUCAGGACAAUGGGUCUGAAAUUCUUGCUUGGGGCCAUAUGGAUUGGCCGCGCAGGGAGGAAAUUAUAUUCGGCUUUCUGUUUCUGCUCAACUCUUUCCACUGGGUAAGUGGGCCCUUUGAAGUGGCACUUGCCUUACCUCACAUUCUGACAGGAAUGACUGAUCGCCUUUCAGUCCACACAAGAUAAGGAGCCUCGUCUCAAAACUGCGGAGCUGUCUUAACUAAACAAUAGCGAACCACCCAGAGCACUCUUCCAAGACGGGAGAGAAUUCCCCACAUGUGUUAAGCAUUUUAUUCUUCCCAAACGCUUUACUCUGUAUUAUUGUGUUAAAUUGGAUAAUGUCAGCAUGAAAGGGCCGUGUCAAUUGUAUCAGAUAACAAAAAAGUAAGAUUUUGU
This 658-nucleotide long non-coding RNA is filed under the name Mus caroli (Ryukyu mouse). Its description in RNAcentral is "lncRNA (MGP_CAROLIEiJ_G0006263.1)". Lineage: Eukaryota; Metazoa; Chordata; Mammalia; Rodentia; Muridae. The record is from RNAcentral.